This is a long non-coding RNA of Sapajus apella (tufted capuchin), 3512 nucleotides long. RefSeq lists it as uncharacterized. The record is from RefSeq and is a predicted model, not a curated record. Lineage: Eukaryota; Metazoa; Chordata; Mammalia; Primates; Cebidae. The transcript is spliced from 2 exons.
GCUACUCUGACUCGUGUGAAAGUGGUAUUCAAAAUAUUUAACAAGCUAUAGGCAAGGUCACCAGCUGUCAUGGGAGUGCCUUCAAGAUGGUCCCCAGUGAUUUGCACCUUCUGAGACCAGUGACAGCUUCCACCUAGAUUGGUAACAAAUGGCUCUGAGAACUGCUGACAACAUCUUUAAUCCUUUCCACUAGAUAAACUGGGAAAAUUCGAAAUAUUUUCAAGGUGGCAACUUCUAGAUUUUAAAUUUCUUUUUAAAGAAACACUUCCAACUAACUAAAACUUGUUUUCUAUCCUCAUUAUCUAUGUCUUUAAAGAAAAAGUGUCACUGAGCAUCUUGGCACAUGAUUUUCAGCUGGGACUCAUUAUCCUCUUCAAGAAUUUUUUCUCUUUCCUAGUAGAUCUCUGAAGAAGUGAACAUAUUAGAAAGUACAAACUACUGUAAUUUUUUUAUUUUUAAAACAUGUUUGGGGAAGGCUUGCUACAGUCUGAUCUAAGAAGAAAAAUAAAAUUAUACUUGAAGUAUCUCAUGAUGCAAACCAUUUCUGGCAAAUUUGUUUUGGAUAUAGCUCUUGUCUCAAAUUCAGCAAAAUUCAUUUGGGUUAAGUUUUACACUAAAGCACAGUAAAUGUGUUGUUAGUUUUUCAUUUUACAAAUCACAAAAAUUCUGCUUGAUUUGAGUGACAAAAUAGUUAACUAAUAUAUAAAAAGCAUUUUCACUGGAACUGGAGCAGAAGAUACUGUUACCUCUACAAAUAGGUGUGGUUUUAACAAAUGGCAAAGACAAUAAAGAAAACACAGAAGCAGUGUUUCUAUUUUAAAUUUUACUUAUUUUGAGAACCCAUGGGAUAAAUUACAACAGCCUUUGGGAAAGCAAAAUCAUCAAAAUUAGGGAUGGAAAAAAUUAAAUCAAUGAUGAUGUAAUCUAGACCCUUGAUGAUACAGGAGACUCCCUUAAAAAUUCUGCCUGCAUGCAGUGUCGGUUGUAAUGCUUUAGGCUAGGAGAAAUUUCUCAAUCUGACUUGUGCUUUUACAAAUUUAUGCUUUCUGCUUAUUUUUAUUUUACUUUCUGUCAUAACUUCCUUAUUUUCCUUAGGAAAAAAAGAGAAAAGAGGCCUUAAUAGCCUAGUUUCAGUCGAUUUUUUUUUUUUUUACAAUAGUCAUGUUGAAAGCAAAGCAUGCCAUUUUCUUUUAUAAAAUAAUUCUGCUGGCAAACUUCCUAGCUAAAGUUCUCAGUAAAAUAGUAAAUCAAAUAGUAUCCACAUACAGGAAGAAAAGUUAUAAAUCUCCUGAAUUAUAGAGCUCUCUACACUGCAAACUUUCAAGAAGAAUUAUACCUUUUUUAACAUAGUGUUUUUUGCCUCAUCAGAAUUCUUAGAAAAUAAAAAUAUAUUACGUUUGAAAUACACAUGUUCAAUCAAACUUGUGAAAAUUAUUUUAUUUUAAUGUAUUGUUUGCCCUAAUUAAGAUACCUAAUUUAUUAAUUUAAGGAAUAAUUAAUUUAGUAGCCAGAAAUGGUAUUUAGGAUUGCUAUUAAUCUAGCCUGUUUCAACAUGAGUAUAGAGUAUGAAGACUCAGAUUACAUAUUUUCAAAAUAUGAAGUGGACCUGCACAUUGUCAUUUAGUUCAUAAACAGACAACACCUUAAACCAUUAAUUUUGAGCAUGACUUUUCCCAUUCCAAAAAAUACUAGGAAAUGAAAAACAAAAAUGAUGUUGGUAUCAUUUUUUGAGAAGUGUUAAUGAUAAUAGUUAAAUAUUUUGGAACUAUCAAGAGCUAAAUUUGGUUUAUCACUUAUGAAAAUAGUUAUAACUGGCAGCAUAAUAUCAAUGAGUAGAUAUUUGAGUGUCAGUACAGACAAGAUUAUCAACCUGAGCUGCACACUAAGCACAAUUAACUGAAAAACAAAAGUUCAACCAGAGUACGCUGGUCUGAUGCUGAGAGUUGUUCUGUAAGGCUUCAAGUUAUGAUCAUUUAAGAAUAGUUUCAUGAAACUAACUUAAAUAGGUAGUUUUUUUAAAGUGAGAAGAAUGAAAUGAUUAAUUUGAAGAAAAAUUAUAUGCAGUAUUAAUAAAAUAUGAAAGUAUUUUGCUGAAAGACUCAUGUAGCUGAGCUUCUGAAAUAUAUCUUUGAAUUACCAGUGGACAAGCCCAUAAAGAGAUAGUUGUUUUUGAAGAUAUUGUCACUAAGGAAUAGCUACCCAAAUGAAAUUGUAGGCAUGCAAAUAAUGAUGUGAAUGAAGACAUAACAGAAAUAAGGCCAUGCCAUUUCUCACAGCUACUGCCAAAGAGAAACUCUGUUGAAUUAGUUAUUUUUUUCAAUUGUAGCUAACGUACUAAAACACUGAUAUUCUUAGAAUCCUAAAACUUCGACUUGAUUUCUGGCUUCAUCAGUAAUUGACAGUGUAAUCUUUCGUAAGUCCUUGACUGUCACUUUUGAUAGAAGGUAAUAAUACCUAUCUCAGAAUGUUCUUAAGAAGACUAAAUUUGAAAAUAUCUAAAAGCAUAUAUUACCUGAAGAAAAUAAAUUUUAAGUGGUAAAAAAAUAAACAUGAGUGUUUUAACCACUUAAAAUUUAUUUUAAGUGGUUACAAAUAAUCACUUCAAUGAAGUCAUCACUUCAUGAGUGAUUUCUAUUUUUUUUCCAUUCAUCAUUCAACUGUAAUACAAGAUGAUCUAGCACAUUGUGUAAUAUUUUAUUGGUGACUGUUAAAUAGAAGUCUGGUAGAGAUUUGAAAGAUUUCAGAAGAAGCAAAUAUAAUUUUUAUUCGUUACAUUUUUAUCCACACUUUAAUAUUCCUGCUUUAUAUUUGUAAAAUCUAAAAACAGUUGUCUUGAAUUUUCAGCCAGAUAUCUAGGAAGCCCAGAUGGUUUCCUAAGCUUAUAAAAUAAGCAUUUAGCUACUCUAAACUAUCUUUUCUAUGAAGACUUGGAAUGAAAUGAAAUUGUAAGCACACCUGUUUCAUGUCUUUUGCCACAUAUAACCUAGAAUGAAACUCUUUAACCAAUAGAACACUGCUGAUGAAUUCUGCUAAGAUACAGGAUUUUUCCUUAAUGUCGUUAGGAAAGCCAAGAUAUGAGUGUCAUUUAACAUAAUUUUAAUUUAAUUUUUUUUCAGCUUUAGAAGGAAAUGAUAGUUUUCAAGAAAUGAAUAUUUGUGAUAUUUUUAUGGGGUUAACAUGCUAGUUCAAAUAUCUUGAAUUUUAGAAUCUAAUAUAUGUCUUGCAGCCCAUCACUCAUUAUCUUAACUGUACCUUAUUGCUUGCCUACAUACAAUAUAAAACAGAGAUGUAAGAAUUGGUUUCAUAUAGAAAGAAAUACAAGCGUAAUUUUUAAAUUCUUUAUUAAUAGGCAAAGUAACAAAAGCAUGAACAACUUCUGCAAAACUUUCCCAUGACACAGGCUCUUUUCUCAUACCACUGGCAGCUAAAGUGAAAAUCAGGUAACAACUCACAGCAACAGGGAAUCAUACUGGCCUAAAAUGCUGGUCAGUUGUGGGAAUAUCUCUAGAAAA